Long non-coding RNA from Paramacrobiotus metropolitanus, 1051 nucleotides. RefSeq lists it as uncharacterized. The record is from RefSeq and is a predicted model, not a curated record. NCBI's taxonomy places the organism in Eukaryota, Metazoa, Tardigrada, Eutardigrada, Parachela, Macrobiotidae. The transcript is spliced from 3 exons.
UGCAGCAUAAUCUUGCAAAUUGUUUAUCACAAUCGUACAAUUUAGAUAUCUUUACUGCAACAAACAAUAUAAUGGGAUGGAUACAUUCUGUAUUAGAAAGUUCGAUUUUUUGUCAUUAGCUGAUUUAUUAAUUCAGUACUGAUGAAUCGUGCGUAUACUGCGCUGGCAAAAAGCAGUAUUAGGAAGGGAAGUGGGAGCCAUUUAUAAAUUUACCUCCCACGCCUACAGACACCACAAGCGCGGAUCCUGGAAAUCGAUUUGUUGGCUACAUGUUCACUGCUUCCAUGAUAAUUGUGCCGCACCUGUAGGCUGUAUGAAAUCGUUAAACGAAGAAGUCAUAUUGUACCUUGUACUAUAUCUACCCACCGUACACAAAAUAUUUUGCAUCCAUUCCACGACUAUUAUUAUGCUCAUAUCUAAAGGAGGCAUUGAAGCUUUCCUAUUACUACUAGAAUAAUUUAUAAUAAAAUGCAGUUUUUCAUGAAGAGAAACUUUUAUCUUAAAACUGUGCUAGUAAACGAGGAACAUAGUUUUAAGUAAGAUGGUAAGAUGUGUUAUGGCGCAUUAACGAUGAGCAGGGGCUUUUUCUUUCAGGAAUCGUUAUCAUGCACUUUGAAGUUUGACAGGCCUUAUUGUUAAGUGGCAGAUACGGUCCAUACGGAAUACAUUAUUAAUUGUUUUUAUAUAUUUUUACAUUGCAGAGAUCGAGAUUUUUUAUCCAAACUCAUCGAAGUCACCGUUGUCAGUUGCCAGCUUUACUCUCGCCGGCCGAACGAAUUCAGCAACCGAAAUUACCAAAAAUGUUUUUUGAAGAACCUGUCGGCACUGUUUUCUACCGAUCUCAGGAUGCCUUGGAAAAUUUCCGAAUACGUGUAACAAUCCGCAAAGUCAUAUUCGGCGCUACAUGGGACAACAAAUCAUCCCAGUCGCAGCACCAUGUUGCGCCGAAGCAAACCCCGAUCGACAAGAGUCUGCAGGAGGAGACCAGAGUCUUUUCGUGGCAAGAAAAAGUUUUCAGCAAGGUAUGCGCUUUGUAUCGCAAGAGCGAAAG